This 497-nucleotide ribosomal RNA is filed under the name uncultured bacterium. RNAcentral describes it as "partial 16S ribosomal RNA". It matches the Rfam family "Bacterial small subunit ribosomal RNA", at positions 28 to 507 of the family's 1533-position model. The record is from RNAcentral.
GAUGAACGCUGGCGGCGUGCCUAAUACAUGCAAGUCGAGCGAACGGACGAGAAGCUUGCUUCUCUGAUGUUAGCGGCGGACGGGUGAGUAACACGUGGAUAACCUACCUAUAAGACUGGGAUAACUUCGGGAAACCGGAGCUAAUACCGGAUAAUAUUUUGAACCGCAUGGUUCAAAAGUGAAAGACGGUCUUGCUGUCACUUAUAGAUGGAUCCGCGCUGCAUUAGCUAGUUGGUAAGGUAACGGCUUACCAAGGCAACGAUGCAUAGCCGACCUGAGAGGGUGAUCGGCCACACUGGAACUGAGACACGGUCCAGACUCCUACGGGAGGCAGCAGUAGGGAAUCUUCCGCAAUGGGCGAAAGCCUGACGGAGCAACGCCGCGUGAGUGAUGAAGGUCUUCGGAUCGUAAAACUCUAUUAUUAGGGAAGGACAUACGUGUAAGUAACUGUGCACAUCUUGACGGUACCUAAUCAGAAAGCCACGGCUAACUACGUG